CAAGCACCUCGGUAGGUGAGGCGUCUGCAUGGAUAUAGGCCACUGACCCCGAACGUCGAGAGACGCCUCGGGUCAGGACAGCUCUUCCCGGACCCAAGGGUUGAGCCCAAGUGGCUCCUGGACGUUGGUCCAGAUACGUCGUGCAGUGCCAAAGCUCCGACGAGAGGGGUGUGUU
Molecule: small RNA, 175 nt
Filed under: Mycobacterium haemophilum
Lineage: Bacteria; Bacillati; Actinomycetota; Actinomycetes; Mycobacteriales; Mycobacteriaceae
Description: Magnesium sequence
Rfam family: M-box riboswitch aptamer (ykoK leader)
About the family: M-box riboswitch, also know as ykoK leader is described as a metaloregulatory RNA that sense divalent metals and function as a genetic control element of genes related to divalent metal transport in bacteria. It was first reported upstream of the B.subtilis ykoK gene and genes with related functions in other bacteria.
Source: Rfam by way of RNAcentral